Molecule: long non-coding RNA, 205 nt
Filed under: Polistes fuscatus (common paper wasp)
Lineage: Eukaryota; Metazoa; Arthropoda; Insecta; Hymenoptera; Vespidae
Description: uncharacterized LOC122514670
Source: RNAcentral
CCUUUUCAUUAUUAAAAUUUGGAGCAGUUUGUCAGACGGUACAUUCAAUUGUACCAAGACUUUCAAACUUAUUGUCGGGAAGCAAUCCAGAGCAUCGGGUUUAAAAGUAAAAGGAGAACUACAGCUUCGUUGUGAACAUUGCUAUUUUGUUGCAAGACGUGAAAGAUGGUAUGUAAUGUGUAGAAAGUCACCUAGGCAUAAACAA